UACGGAGGGUGCAAGCGUUUGUCCGGAUUUAUUGGGUUUAAAGGGUGCGUAGGCGGCCCUGUAAGUCAGUGGUGAAAUACUGCAGCUUAACUGUAGCAUUGCCAUUGAUACUGCAGGGCUUGAGUACAGAUGAGGUAGGCGGAAUUGAUGGUGUAGCGGUGAAAUGCAUAGAUACCAUCAAGAACACCGAUUGCGAAGGCAGCCUACUGGAGUUUACCGACGCUCAGGCACGAAAGCGUGGGGAUCAAACAGG
RNAcentral lists this ribosomal RNA (253 nucleotides) under uncultured bacterium. RNAcentral describes it as "partial 16S ribosomal RNA". It matches the Rfam family "Bacterial small subunit ribosomal RNA", at positions 524 to 776 of the family's 1533-position model. The record is from RNAcentral.